UGGGGAAUAUUGGACAAUGGGCGCAAGCCUGAUCCAGCCAUGCCGCGUGAGUGAUGAAGGCCCUAGGGUUGUAAAGCUCUUUCACCGGUGAAGAUAAUGACGGUAACCGGAGAAGAAGCCUCGGCUAACUUCGUGCCAGCAGCCGCGGUAAUACGAAGGGGGCUAGCGUUGUUCGGAUUUACUGGGCGUAAAGCGCACGUAGGCGGACUAUUAAGUCAGGGGUGAAAUCCCGGGGCUCAACCCCGGAACUGCCUUUGAUACUGGUAGUCUUGAGUUCGAGAGAGGUGAGUGGAAUUCCGAGUGUAGAGGUGAAAUUCGUAGAUAUUCGGAGGAACACCAGUGGCGAAGGCGGCUCACUGGCUCGAUACUGACGCUGAGGUGCGAAAGCGUGGGGAGCAAACAGG
RNAcentral lists this ribosomal RNA (404 nucleotides) under Actinomycetes bacterium. Its description in RNAcentral is "Actinobacteria bacterium partial 16S ribosomal RNA". It matches the Rfam family "Bacterial small subunit ribosomal RNA", at positions 355 to 776 of the family's 1533-position model. The record is from RNAcentral. Lineage: Bacteria; Bacillati; Actinomycetota; Actinomycetes.